Molecule: small nucleolar RNA, 138 nt
Filed under: Ornithorhynchus anatinus (platypus)
Lineage: Eukaryota; Metazoa; Chordata; Mammalia; Monotremata; Ornithorhynchidae
Source: RNAcentral
CCCCUCUCAGGGUCACACCUGGAGAGUUUCCAGUACUCUAUCAGUCUCGACUAGGGGAGGGAGAGUCAAGCAGAAGGAUAUCUAUUCCAAUCGUAGCUUGGGCAGUGGCUAGCGAGUGGAAGGCAAUCUGCUACAAGU